UGGUGAAAUCGAGUAGGACGGGACACGUGAUAUCCUGUCUGAACAUGGGGGGACCAUCCUCCAAGGCUAAAUACUCCUGACUGACCGAUAGUGAACCAGUACCGUGAGGGAAAGGCGAAAAGAACCCCUGUGAGGGGAGUGAAAUAGAUCCUGAAACCGUAUGCGUACAAGCAGUGGGAGCAGACUUGUUCUGUGACUGCGUACCUUUUGUAUAAUGGGUCAGCGACUUAAUUUCAGUAGCAAGGUUAACCAUUUAGGGGAGCCGUAGGGAAACCGAGUCUUAAUG
This 286-nucleotide ribosomal RNA is filed under the name uncultured marine Prymnesiales. Its description in RNAcentral is "partial Bacterial large subunit ribosomal RNA". It matches the Rfam family "Bacterial large subunit ribosomal RNA", at positions 400 to 689 of the family's 2925-position model. The record is from RNAcentral. Lineage: Eukaryota; Haptophyta; Prymnesiales.